GAUGAACGCUGGCGGCGUGCCUAAUACAUGCAAGUCGAGCGAACGGACGAGAAGCUUGCUCCUCUGACGUUAGCGGCGGACGGGUGAGUAACACGUGGAUAACCUACCUAUAAGACUGGGAUAACUUCGGGAAACCGGAGCUAAUACCGGAUAAUAUUUUGAACCGCAUGGUUCAAUAGUGAAAGACGGUCUUGCUGUCACUUAUAGAUGGAUCCGCGCUGCAUUAGCUAGUUGGUAAGGUAACGGCUUACCAAGGCAACGAUGCAUAGCCGACCUGAGAGGGUGAUCGGCCACACUGGAACUGAGACACGGUCCAGACUCCUACGGGAGGCAGCAGUAGGGAAUCUUCCGCAAUGGGCGAAAGCCUGACGGAGCAACGCCGCGUGAGUGAUGAAGGUCUUCGGAUCGUAAAACUCUGUUAUUAGGGAAGAACAUAUGUGUAAGUAACUGUGCACAUCUUGACGGUACCUAAUCAGAAAGCCACGGCUAACUACGUG
Molecule: ribosomal RNA, 497 nt
Filed under: uncultured bacterium
Lineage: Bacteria
Description: partial 16S ribosomal RNA
Rfam family: Bacterial small subunit ribosomal RNA
Source: RNAcentral